GAUGAACGUUGGCGGUGUGCCUAAUACAUGCAAGUCGAACGGUGAUUAUUUUGUAGUAAUACGAGAUAAUUAUAGUGGCGAACGGGUGAGUAACGCGUUGGUGAUCUGCCUCGAAGUGUGGAAUAACGUUCCGAAAGGAACGCUAAUACCGCAUGUGCUCUCAGUUUUUAGAAAGUUGAGAGUAAAGGAUUUAUUCGCUUCGAGAGGAGCCUGCGUCCCAUCAGCUAGUUGGUAGGGUAACAGCCUACCAAGGCAAUGACGGGUAGGGGACCUGAGAGGGUGGCCCCCCACAAUGGAACUGAAACACGGUCCAUACACCUACGGGUGGCAGCAGUAGGGAAUAUUAGAAAUGGACGAAAGUCUGAUCUAGCGACACCGCGUGUGCGAAGAAGGCCCUUGGGUUGUAAAGCACUUUUUGGAAGGAAUAGGAAGGAAGGUACUUCCAGAAUAAGUCUCGGCUAACUACGUG
Molecule: ribosomal RNA, 469 nt
Filed under: uncultured bacterium
Lineage: Bacteria
Description: bacterial SSU rRNA
Rfam family: Bacterial small subunit ribosomal RNA
Source: RNAcentral